This 21-nucleotide non-coding RNA is filed under the name Caenorhabditis elegans. Lineage: Eukaryota; Metazoa; Nematoda; Chromadorea; Rhabditida; Rhabditidae. The record is from RNAcentral.
UGCAUAAUUUGAAAUACAGUU